Molecule: small nuclear RNA, 91 nt
Organism: Monodelphis domestica (gray short-tailed opossum)
Lineage: Eukaryota; Metazoa; Chordata; Mammalia; Didelphimorphia; Didelphidae
Source: Ensembl
GUGUUCACUUUGCAACACAUAUACUGAAAGAAUAUUAGCAUUGCCCCCAUGUAAGGAUGACAUGAAAAUUCAUGAAACAUUUGAUAUUUUU